CCUACGGGUGGCAAUAGUCGAGAAUCAUUCACAAUGGGGGAAACCCUGAUGGUGCGACGCCGCGUGGGGGAAUGAAGGUCUUCGGAUUGUAAACCCCUGUCAUGUGGGAGCAAAUUAAAAAGAUAGUACCACAAGAGGAAGAGACGGCUAACUCUGUGCCAGCAGCCGCGGUAAUACAGAGGUCUCAAGCGUUGUUCGGAAGCACUGGGCGUAAAGCGUGCGUAGGCUGUUUCGUAAGUCGGGUGUGAAAGGCGCGGGCCCAACCCGCGGACGGCUCAUGAUACUGCGAGACUAGAGUAAUGGAGGGGGAACCGGAAUUCUCGGUGUAGCAGUGAAAUGCGUAGAUAUCGAGAGGAACACUCGUGGCGAAGGCGGGUUCCUGGACAUUAACUGACGCUGAGGCACGAAGGCCAGGGGAGCGAAAGGGAUUAGAUACCCGGGUAGUC
This 446-nucleotide ribosomal RNA is filed under the name uncultured bacterium. Its description in RNAcentral is "partial 16S ribosomal RNA". It matches the Rfam family "Bacterial small subunit ribosomal RNA", at positions 338 to 795 of the family's 1533-position model. The record is from RNAcentral.